RNAcentral lists this unclassified non-coding RNA (399 nucleotides) under soil metagenome. RNAcentral describes it as "partial contains 5.8S ribosomal RNA, internal transcribed spacer 2, and large subunit ribosomal RNA". The stretch from base 1 to 121 matches the Rfam family "5.8S ribosomal RNA", at positions 35 to 154 of the family's 154-position model. The record is from RNAcentral.
GAUGAAGAAGCAGCGAAAUGCGAUACUUGGUGUGAAUUGCAGAAUCCCGUGAACCAUCGAGUCUUUGAACGCAAGUUGCGCCUCAAGCCAUUAGGUUGAGGGCACGUCUGCCUGGGCGUCACAUAUCGUUGCCUGAUGCCAGUUUCCUCGUGAUGGGUGACUGUGCAGGGCGAAUGAUGGCUUCCCGUGAGCAUUGUUGCCUCAUGGUUGGUUGAAAAUUGAGUCCUUGGUAGGGAGCGCCGUGAUAGAUGGUGGUUGAGUGACGAACGAGACCCAAUCAUGUGAGACCCCUACCGAAUUUGGCCUUCAUGACCCACAUGCGUCUUUGGAACGCUCAUGACGAGACCUCAGGUCAGGCGGGGCUACCCGCUGAGUUUAAGCAUAUCAAUAAGCGGAGGA